UGGGUUAUAGCUCUGUGGUAGAGCAUGUGCUUAGCAUGAACAAGGUCCUGGAUUCAAUCCCCAGUACCUCUA
Molecule: transfer RNA, 72 nt
Filed under: Camelus bactrianus (Bactrian camel)
Lineage: Eukaryota; Metazoa; Chordata; Mammalia; Artiodactyla; Camelidae
Also listed under: 2 other names
Rfam family: tRNA
About the family: Transfer RNA (tRNA) molecules are approximately 80 nucleotides in length.
Source: Rfam by way of RNAcentral